Molecule: small nucleolar RNA, 138 nt
Filed under: Ornithorhynchus anatinus (platypus)
Lineage: Eukaryota; Metazoa; Chordata; Mammalia; Monotremata; Ornithorhynchidae
Source: RNAcentral
CCCUUCUCAGGGUCGCACCUGGAGAGUUUCCAGUCCUCUACCAGUCUCGGCUAUGGGAGGGAGAGUCAAGCAAGGGUCUACCCAUUCCAUUCCUAGCCUGGGAAGUGGCUAGAGAGUGGAAAGCCAUCUGCUACAAGG